UACGUAGGGUGCAAGCGUUGUCCGGAAUUAUUGGGCGUAAAGAGCUCGUAGGCGGUCUGUCGCGUCGGGUGUGAAAAUCAGGGCUCAACCCUGGACCUGCAUUCGAUACGGGCAGACUAGAGUUCGGCAGGGGAGACUGGAAUUCCUGGUGUAGCGGUGAAAUGCGCAGAUAUCAGGAGGAACACCAAUGGCGAAGGCAGCUCGCUGGAACGGUACUGACGCUGAGGCGCGAAAGCAUGGGGAGCGAA
This 248-nucleotide ribosomal RNA is filed under the name uncultured bacterium. Its description in RNAcentral is "partial 16S ribosomal RNA". It matches the Rfam family "Bacterial small subunit ribosomal RNA", at positions 524 to 772 of the family's 1533-position model. The record is from RNAcentral.